UUGGUGUCAAAUGCCAACUCCGUGGCUCAAUCAAACACUUCCUUGUCCUAACAGUAAAAUAUCAACUGUAGGCAAUUGAAGGAAGGAAACCAGCAACGGCUUAUCUUCAACUCUAACACGCAAGAACAUACUCUCGCUCUCUAUCCAUAACUCUAUGUUGAAAUGGAACACUUGUCGUUGAAUCCAUCUUUGCAAAAUGAAAUCGAAAACGAAAAUUUGGGACUGCCUGAGAAAGAUAUCGGAAGCAAGGCCCAAGGAAAAAGAUUGUCAAGAAGGGAAUUUCAUGGCAGACAACUCCAUUUCCUGGAGAUGAAGUGGAAGUUCAUUUCAGUGGACAUAUUGAAGUUGGGGCGGGGCAUAUCUUCAUUCAAGUCGUGAUAAAGGGGUUCCUUUCAAGUUCAAAUUAGGCCAAGGCAAGAAAUGAACUCUCCAUAUUAAUGGUGAUAUAUCUGUAUUGUUGGCUAUAUGUAUAAGAAGUCUUUGUUUGAUAUUUGGGUUUCAGGUGAGGUUAUAAGUGGAUAGGAUGAGGGAGUUGCCACUAUGAAGAAUGGUGAGAGAGCAAGUUUUCCGAUACCGCCAAAUUUGGCCUAUGGGGAGGCUAGUUCUCAACUACGUACUGAUUCCUCCCAAUGCAACUCUUGUUUUUGAUGUUGAGAUCCUGUCAUGGAGUAGCAUCAGGGAUUUAACAGAUGAUGGAGGAAUAUUGAUGAAGAUAAUAAAGGAGGGUGAAGGAUGGGCUACACCAAAAGGUAGAGAUUAAGUUUUAGGUAAACUUCUGCUCUCUUGUAAUCAUUGUCUAUGCCUCUUUUUUUGAGAUGUAGUGAGUGGAUUAUCUACAAGAUAGUAAUGCCUUUCCAACACUGUAGUGAAUUAUGAGGCAAAGCUUGAGAAUGGAAUCCUUGUCUCCAAAUCUGAGGAAGGUUUGGAGUUUCAUAUAGGAGAUGGUUAUCUAUGUCCUGCAUUGAGCAAAGCAGUGAAAACAAUGACAAAGGGUGAGAAGGCAGAGCUAGCAUAUUUUUCAAAUAAGUAUAUUUGUGCUCUUUACCAUUAUAGAACAAGUGAACAACGGUUCAGACAGAGCCAUUAUGACUAUGAAGAAAGGAGAACAUGCCGCAGUGACCGUGGAUACCGAAUACCUCCGUGGCGGUGACGAUGCUUCCUGCAAAUUCCUUGCUUCAUUAUGAAGUUGAGCUGAUUGAUUUUAUCGAAGAAAUAACCAUUCUGGAAAAUUAGAAGCAAGUGGAAGGAAGAAGCUUGACGGAAAUGUGCUAUUCAAGGCAGGAAAAAUCUGGCGUGCCUCUAAGAAAUAUGAGAAGUAUUUGAGCUGCAGAAUUUGCUAGCUGCAAAUCCCAGGCUGCAAAAUCUAUAGAGUUCAACUACUCUUUCACUGACGAGGAAAUGUGGCUAGCAAAAAGCUCGAGGUUAUCAUGGUAUCUGAAUGAUGCAGCUUGUAAGCUUAAAUUAGGAGAGUACCUUGAAUAUUUUUUUUACUCCAUAAUUUCCCACAUUAUGUUAUAAUAAUGACAGGUCUUGGAACUUG
Long non-coding RNA from Populus euphratica (Euphrates poplar), 1540 nucleotides. RefSeq lists it as uncharacterized. The transcript is spliced from 5 exons. Lineage: Eukaryota; Viridiplantae; Streptophyta; Magnoliopsida; Malpighiales; Salicaceae. The record is from RefSeq and is a predicted model, not a curated record.